AGUAGGGAAUCUUCCGCAAUGGACGAAAGUCUGACGGAGCAACGCCGCGUGAGUGAUGAAGGUUUUCGGAUCGUAAAGCUCUGUUGUUAGGGAAGAACAAGUGCGAGAGUAACUGCUCGCACCUUGACGGAACCUAACCAGAAAGCCACGGCUAACUACGUGCCAGCAGCCGCGGUAAUACGUAGGUGGCAAGCGUUGUCCGGAAUUAUUGGGCGUAAAGGGCUCGCAGGCGGUUUCUUAAGUCUGAUGUGAAAGCCCCCGGCUCAACCGGGGAGGGUCAUUGGAAACUGGAAAACUUGAGUGCAGAAGAGGAGAGUGGAAUUCCACGUGUAGCGGUGAAAUGCGUAGAGAUGUGGAGGAACACCAGUGGCGAAGGCGACUCUCUGGUCUGUAACUGACGCUGAGGAGCGAAAGUGGGGAGCGAACAGGAUUAGAUACCCUGGUAGUCCACGCCGUAAACGAUGAGUGCUAAGUGUUAGGGGGUUUCCGCCUGUUAGUGCUGCAGCUAACGCAUUAAGCACUCCGCCUGGGGAGGUCGCAAGACUGAAACUCAAAGGGACGGGCGCCCCCUCAAUCGGUGGAGCAUGUGGUUUAAUUGGACGAACCGGAAGAACCUUAACAUGCUUCACAUCCUCUGAGAACCCUACACAUAGUGCUAUCUUCGGGGACAGAGUGACAGGUGGUGCAGGGUUGCGAGACCGCGAGUCGUGAGAUGUUGGGUUAAUCCCGCAACGAGCGCAACCCUUGCUCUUAGUUCCAGCAUUUAGUUGGGCACUCUAAGGUGACUGCCGGUGACAAACCGGAGGAAGUUGGGGAUGACGUCAAAUCAUCAUGCCCCUUAUGACCUGGGCUACACACGUGCUACAAUGGACAGAACAAAGGGCUGCGAGACCGCAAGGUUUAGCCAAUCCCAUAAAUCUGUUCUCAGUUCGGAUCGCAGUCUGCAACUCGACUGCGUGAAGCUGGAAUCGCUAGUAAUCGCGGAUCAGCAUGCCGCGGUGAAUACGUUCCCGGGCCUUGUACACACCCCCCGUCACACCACGAGAGUUUGUAACACCCGAAGUCGGUGAGGUAACCUUUAUGGAGCCAGCCGCCGAAGGUGGGAGAGAUGAUUGGGGUGAAGUCGUAACAAGGUAGCCGUAUCGGAAGGUGCGGCUGGAUCACCUCCUUUCUA
Molecule: ribosomal RNA, 1174 nt
Filed under: Bacillus pumilus
Lineage: Bacteria; Bacillati; Bacillota; Bacilli; Caryophanales; Bacillaceae
Description: bacterial SSU rRNA
Rfam family: Bacterial small subunit ribosomal RNA
Source: RNAcentral